Vulpes vulpes (red fox) is the source of this 105-nucleotide small nuclear RNA. The record is from Ensembl. NCBI's taxonomy places the organism in Eukaryota, Metazoa, Chordata, Mammalia, Carnivora, Canidae.
GUGCUCGCUUUGGCAGCAUAAAAUACUAAAAUUGGAACCAUACAGAGAUUAGCAUGGCCCCUGCACAAGGAUGACUCGCAAAUUCAUUAAGUGUUUCAUGUUUAA